RNAcentral lists this ribosomal RNA (249 nucleotides) under uncultured bacterium. RNAcentral's name for it is "partial 16S ribosomal RNA". It matches the Rfam family "Bacterial small subunit ribosomal RNA", at positions 83 to 334 of the family's 1533-position model. The record is from RNAcentral.
CCUUGAUGGCGACCGGCGCACGGUGAGUAACGCGUAUGCAACCUGCCCGAUACCGGGGUAUAGCCCAUGGAAACGUGGAUUAACACCCCAUAGUACUUUUAUCCUGCCUGGGAUGGGAGUUAAAUGUUCAAGGUAUCGGAUGGGCAUGCGUCCUAUUAGUUAGUUGGCGGGGUAACAGCCCACCAAGACGAUGAUAGGUAGGGGUUCUGAGAGGAAGGUCCCCCACAUUGGAACUGAGACACGGUCCAA